GCCUACGGGAGGCAGCAGUGAGGAAUAUUGGUCAAUGGGCGGAAGCCUGAACCAGCCAAGUCGCGUGAGGGAAUAAGGCCCUACGGGUCGUAAACCUCUUUUGCCGGGGAGCAAGGACGGGGACGUGUCCCGGCCCGGAGAGUACCCGGAGAAAAAGCAUCGGCUAACUCCGUGCCAGCAGCCGCGGUAAUACGGAGGAUGCGAGCGUUAUCCGGAUUUAUUGGGUUUAAAGGGUGCGUAGGCGGGCUUUUAAGUCAGCGGUAAAAAUUCGGGGCUCAACCCCGUCCGGCCGUUGAAACUGGGGG
RNAcentral lists this ribosomal RNA (305 nucleotides) under uncultured bacterium. RNAcentral's name for it is "bacterial SSU rRNA". It matches the Rfam family "Bacterial small subunit ribosomal RNA", at positions 337 to 639 of the family's 1533-position model. The record is from RNAcentral.